GUCGAACGGCAGCACGGGAGCUUGCUCCUGGUGGCGAGUGGCGAACGGGUGAGUAAUACAUCGGAACGUGCCCAGGAGUGGGGGAUAACGUAGCGAAAGUUACGCUAAUACCGCAUAUUCUGUGAGCAGGAAAGCGGGGGAUCGCAAGACCUCGCGCUCUUGGAGCGGCCGAUGUCGGAUUAGCUAGUUGGUGAGGUAAAAGCUCACCAAGGCGACGAUCCGUAGCAGGUCUGAGAGGAUGAUCUGCCACACUGGGACUGAGACACGGCCCAGACUCCUACGGGAGGCAGCAGUGGGGAAUUUUGGACAAUGGGGGCAACCCUGAUCCAGCCAUGCCGCGUGAGUGAAGAAGGCCUUCGGGUUGUAAAGCUCUUUCGGCGGGGAAGAAAUGGCAACGGCUAAUAUCCGUUGUUGAUGACGGUACCCGCAUAAGAAGCACCGGCUAACUACGUGCCAGCAGCCGCGGUAAUACGUAGGGUGCGAGCGUUAAUCGGAAUUACUGGGCGUAAAGCGUGCGCAGGCGGUUUCGUAAGACAGACGUGAAAUCCCCGGGCUCAACCUGGGAACUGCGUUUGUGACUGCGAGGCUAGAGUACGGCAGAGGGGGGUAGAAUUCCACGUGUAGCAGUGAAAUGCGUAGAGAUGUGGAGGAAUACCGAUGGCGAAGGCAGCCCCCUGGGUUAGUACUGACGCUCAUGCACGAAAGCGUGGG
Molecule: ribosomal RNA, 711 nt
Filed under: Azospira sp. AR16
Lineage: Bacteria; Pseudomonadati; Pseudomonadota; Betaproteobacteria; Rhodocyclales; Rhodocyclaceae
Description: bacterial SSU rRNA
Rfam family: Bacterial small subunit ribosomal RNA
Source: RNAcentral